This 74-nucleotide transfer RNA is filed under the name Myxococcales bacterium. Its description in RNAcentral is "tRNA-Met". It matches the Rfam family "tRNA". From Rfam's summary of the family: Transfer RNA (tRNA) molecules are approximately 80 nucleotides in length. Their secondary structure includes four short double-helical elements and three loops (D, anti-codon, and T loops). Further hydrogen bonds mediate the characteristic L-shaped molecular structure. tRNAs have two regions of fundamental functional importance: the anti-codon, which is responsible for specific mRNA codon recognition, and the 3' end, to which the tRNAs corresponding amino acid is attached (by aminoacyl-tRNA synthetases). tRNAs cope with the degeneracy of the genetic code in two manners: having more than one tRNA (with a specific anti-codon) for a particular amino acid; and 'wobble' base-pairing, i.e. permitting non-standard base-pairing at the 3rd anti-codon position. Lineage: Bacteria; Pseudomonadati; Myxococcota; Myxococcia; Myxococcales. The record is from RNAcentral.
GGCUAGGUAGCUCAGCUGGUCAGAGCGAGCGGCUCAUAACCGCUAGGUCGAGGGUUCAAGUCCCUCCCUAGCCA